This 432-nucleotide long non-coding RNA is filed under the name Strongylocentrotus purpuratus (purple sea urchin). Its description in RNAcentral is "uncharacterized LOC115919477". The record is from RNAcentral. Lineage: Eukaryota; Metazoa; Echinodermata; Echinoidea; Camarodonta; Strongylocentrotidae.
UUUUCUUUUUGUUUCAACAGAUUGAAACUGAUGAAGAGCUGGAUGGAGUUAACUGAUGAGUAGACAUUACAACAUUUCUUAUAUUUGCAAGAUGAAGCUGAAAGUCCCAUGCAGGAUGAUGCUUCUCUACAGUGGAUGAUGAAGGCAUGCUGAUUACAAACCCAGGAGAGGAACAAAGAACAGAUAUUGACAGAAGCAUAUCUAGAGAUGCGGGCCUACUACACUUCAUACGAGCAAGUGUGCUAAUAUACAAUACUUGGGUUAUCAUCACAGCCCUUUCUUCUGAAAACUAGCCUACAACUUCAUCGAUGAAUGCAGAAGACAUCUACAUGGGACUACGUCUUAAAGAUGCAACCCUCAUAUAAUGAAAGAGGACAUUAGAGAUGGGUUUAAACUUGAAUAUUUACAUACUAUUUAUUUAUUAUUUGUAUU